Molecule: non-coding RNA, 135 nt
Filed under: Bacteroides oleiciplenus
Lineage: Bacteria; Pseudomonadati; Bacteroidota; Bacteroidia; Bacteroidales; Bacteroidaceae
Description: Bacteroidete tryptophan peptide leader RNA
Rfam family: Bacteroidete tryptophan peptide leader RNA
Source: RNAcentral
UAAAACAAAAAGACAAUGAAAACAAUGCUCGUAAAUACAUAUUGGUGGCGCUCACUAAAACUCCUACAGUCGUAAGGGAGCAGUGCUCGUAUGUAUAUAUGUAAACAUUAUAUAGAAUAAGAAAAGAGCCCUGUC